Molecule: ribosomal RNA, 105 nt
Filed under: Escherichia coli
Lineage: Bacteria; Pseudomonadati; Pseudomonadota; Gammaproteobacteria; Enterobacterales; Enterobacteriaceae
Also listed under: 19 other names
Description: partial 16S ribosomal RNA
Rfam family: Bacterial small subunit ribosomal RNA
Source: RNAcentral
GGUAGCUUAACCUUCGGGAGGGCGCUUACCACUUUGUGAUUCAUGACUGGGGUGAAGUCGUAACAAGGUAACCGUAGGGGAACCUGCGGUUGGAUCACCUCCUUA